AUUGAACGCUGGCGGCAGGCCUAACACAUGCAAGUCGAGCGGAUGAAGGGAGCUUGCUCCUGGAUUCAGCGGCGGACGGGUGAGUAAUGCCUAGGAACCUGCCUGGUAGUGGGGGAUAACGUCCGGAAACGGGCGCUAAUACCGCAUACGUCCUGAGGGAGAAAGUGGGGGAUCUUCGGACCUCACGCUAUCAGAUGAGCCUAGGUCGGAUUAGCUAGUUGGUGGGGUAAAGGCCUACCAAGGCGACGAUCCGUAACUGGUCUGAGAGGAUGAUCAGUCACACUGGAACUGAGACACGGUCCAGACUCCUACGGGAGGCAGCAGUGGGGAAUAUUGGACAAUGGGCGAAAGCCUGAUCCAGCCAUGCGGCGGGUGUGAAGAAGGUCUUCGGAUUGUAAGGCACUUUAAGUUGGGAGGAAGGGCAGUAAGUUAAUACCUUGCUGUUUUGACGUGACCAACAGAAUAAGCACCGGCUAACUGCGU
This 483-nucleotide ribosomal RNA is filed under the name uncultured bacterium. RNAcentral describes it as "partial 16S ribosomal RNA". It matches the Rfam family "Bacterial small subunit ribosomal RNA", at positions 30 to 506 of the family's 1533-position model. The record is from RNAcentral.